RNAcentral lists this ribosomal RNA (503 nucleotides) under uncultured bacterium. Its description in RNAcentral is "bacterial SSU rRNA". It matches the Rfam family "Bacterial small subunit ribosomal RNA", at positions 36 to 571 of the family's 1533-position model. The record is from RNAcentral.
CUGGCGGCGUGCCUAACACAUGCAAGUCGAACGAGAAAGUGGAGCAAUCCAUGAGUAAAGUGGCGACCGGGUGAGUAACACGUGACUAACCUACCCUCGAGUGGGGAAUAACUCCGGGAAACCGGGGCUAAUACCGCAUAACAUCGCAAGAUCAAAGCAGCAAUGCGCUUGAGGAGGGGGUCGCGGCUGAUUAGCUAGUUGGCGGGGUAACGGCCCACCAAGGCGAAGAUCGGUAUCCGGCCUGAGAGGGCGCACGGACACACUGGAACUGAAACACGGUCCAGACUCCUACGGGAGGCAGCAGUGGGGAAUUUUGCGCAAUGGGGGAAACCCUGACGCAGCAACGCCGCGUGGAGGAUGAAGCCCUUUGGGGCGUAAACUCCUUUCGACCCGGACGAUAAUGACGGUACGAGUGGAAGAAGCACCGGCUAACUCUGUGCCAGCAGCCGCGGUAAUACAGAGGGUGCGAGCGUNGUUCGGAAUUAUUGGGCGUAAAGGGCGCG